RNAcentral lists this ribosomal RNA (404 nucleotides) under uncultured bacterium. RNAcentral's name for it is "partial 16S ribosomal RNA". It matches the Rfam family "Bacterial small subunit ribosomal RNA", at positions 30 to 525 of the family's 1533-position model. The record is from RNAcentral.
AUUGAACGCUGGCGGCAGGCCUAACACAUGCAAGUCGAACGAGUGGCGGACGGGUGAGUAAUGUCUGGGAAACUGCCUGAUGGAGGGGAUAACCUACGGAAACGGUUGGCAAUAACGCAUUGCAUCCGAUUGGCCCCGAUGGGGUUAGCUAGUUGGUGGGGUAACGGCUCACCUAGGCGACGAGCCCUAGCUGGUCUGAGAGGAUGACCAGCCACACUGGAACUGAGACACGGUCCAGACUCCUACGGGAGGCAGCAGUGGGGAAUAUUGCACAAUGGGCGCAAGCCUGAUGCAGCCAUGCCGCGUGUGUGAAGAAGGCCUUCGGGUUGUAAAGCACUUUCAGCGGGGAGGCGUUACCCGCAGAAGAAGCACCGGCUAACUCCGUGCCAGCGGCGGGGGUAAUA